Molecule: long non-coding RNA, 306 nt
Filed under: Elaeis guineensis (African oil palm)
Lineage: Eukaryota; Viridiplantae; Streptophyta; Magnoliopsida; Arecales; Arecaceae
Description: long non-coding RNA (EGUI_LNC079646)
Source: RNAcentral
CAUAGAAGCCCGGAUGGGGAUCAUUUGUCGAGAAAUCUUGACCGAGACCUGCAACAGGAGUUCAGGGUGGAAGUCCGGCUCCCGUGGGAGUCCAGACGAAGUCUUCCUACAGUUGAAGUCGGGGACGAAGUCCGACUCCCGUAGGAAUUCGGACGAAGUUUACCUGCAGUCAGAGUCGGGGAUGAAGUCCAACUCCCGUAGGAGUCCAGACGAAGUCUUCCUGCAGUUGGAGUCAGAGACGAAGUCUGGCUCCCAUGGGAGCCCGGACGAAGUCUUCCUGCAGUCGGAACUAGGGACGGAGUCCGG